Molecule: long non-coding RNA, 1173 nt
Organism: Equus caballus (horse)
Lineage: Eukaryota; Metazoa; Chordata; Mammalia; Perissodactyla; Equidae
Source: RefSeq, a predicted model, not a curated record
AUUAGAGGCAAAAAAAAAGCCUUAUUAAAUAAGUCUUUGCAAUAUGGAUUAGCAUUUUGAGAAACAGUCGAGAAAAUUUCCUCAACAACGUUACUGAGUUGUUUUAAAUGUUUCACUUCCUUCAACUUUAGUUUCUUAUUUAAAAUGUGGCUAUUGAUAGGGACAGCCGAGUCUGUGUGUGUGUGUGUGUGUAUUUAAUAGACGUUUUUGUUUAGAGCAGUUUUAAAUUUACAGAAAAAUUGAGAAGAAAGAUCAGAGCGUUCCCGUAUAUCUGGCACCCGGUUUCACCUAUUUAUUAACAUCUUAUAUUUGCAUAGUACUUUUGUUAAAAUUAACGAACCAAUGUUGAUACGUUGUUCUUGACUGAAGUCGUUAUUCAGAUUUCUUUAACUUUUACCUAAUGUCCUUUUUCUGUUCCAGGAGACCACAUUACAUUUAGUCUUCUUGUCUCCUUGGGCUCCUCUUGGCUGUGACAGUUUCUCACACUUUCCCGUCUUUGAGGACCUCCACAGUUUUGAGGAGUACUGUGAUCUGAGGUAAUACAGCAAGUACUGCGAGAGUACAGACGAGAGAGAGCCCAUUUCCUGCUGGAGAGACUGAGGAAGGCCUCGUGGAGAGAGCAGUGUUCCAGCUGGGCCUCGAAGGGCUCCACAUAUGGCGAAGAACUGCUGAUUCCCUAAACCUCUUUCUUCUCCAGGCCACUUCCAGGCACAUGUCCUGGCUGUUUCCUGUGUGAUCAAGGGAAACAGCCCAGAGGAAAGAAGACAGAAGGGGCAUGAUAGCUGCUAUCAAGUAUUUUAAAGUCUGUCAUCUGGAAGGAUUGAAUAUGUGGUGGGGAGACCAGACUGUGUGCAAGUUGUGUUCGUCAUAGGAUUCAGCGUUGCCCAGAAUGGCCUGGAGGACCUUAUGGCGCUGGAGUCUCCUCUCUCGAGCUGUAUGAACAAAACACUUGAAAAAACCCACUCACUAGAUUGUUCCAAAGCUGGAUCAUUCUGCUAAAGAUUGGUAGGGAAGUUAUAGUGGAGGCAAGAAAGGAAGAAAGUGUCCACGACAUUUAUUUCCUUAGAAGCAGUUAAUGCUUACCUCAAAUAUACUUGUGGAAUACCACUCAGCCAUAAGAAAUGAUGAAAUCCAGCCAUUUGUGACAAUGUGGAUGAACCUUGAAGGCAUUAU